This 70-nucleotide transfer RNA is filed under the name Bradyrhizobium sp. CCBAU 051011. Its description in RNAcentral is "tRNA-Gln". It matches the Rfam family "tRNA". Rfam says of the family: Transfer RNA (tRNA) molecules are approximately 80 nucleotides in length. Their secondary structure includes four short double-helical elements and three loops (D, anti-codon, and T loops). The record is from RNAcentral. Lineage: Bacteria; Pseudomonadati; Pseudomonadota; Alphaproteobacteria; Hyphomicrobiales; Nitrobacteraceae. RNAcentral also lists the same sequence under 3 other names.
GAGCGCGUCGCCGAGCUGGGCAAGGCGCCGGAUUUUGAUUCCGGUGGUUCGAGUCCUGCCGCGCUUGCCA